This 291-nucleotide ribosomal RNA is filed under the name Escherichia coli. RNAcentral's name for it is "partial 16S ribosomal RNA". It matches the Rfam family "Bacterial small subunit ribosomal RNA", at positions 680 to 970 of the family's 1533-position model. The record is from RNAcentral. RNAcentral also lists the same sequence under 1 other name. Lineage: Bacteria; Pseudomonadati; Pseudomonadota; Gammaproteobacteria; Enterobacterales; Enterobacteriaceae.
GGUGAAAUGCGUAGAGAUCUGGAGGAAUACCGGUGGCGAAGGCGGCCCCCUGGACGAAGACUGACGCUCAGGUGCGAAAGCGUGGGGAGCAAACAGGAUUAGAUACCCUGGUAGUCCACGCCGUAAACGAUGUCGACUUGGAGGUUGUGCCCUUGAGGCGUGGCUUCCGGAGCUAACGCGUUAAGUCGACCGCCUGGGGAGUACGGCCGCAAGGUUAAAACUCAAAUGAAUUGACGGGGGCCCGCACAAGCGGUGGAGCAUGUGGUUUAAUUCGAUGCAACGCGAAGAACC